UACGUAGGUGGCGAGCGUUGUCCGGAUUUACUGGGCGUAAAGAGCGCGCAGGCGGCUGGUCAAGUCCGAUGUGAAAGCUCCCGGCUUAACUGGGAAAUUGCAUCGGAAACUGAUCGGCUGGAAGGUGGGAGAGGGUAGCGGAAUUCCCGGUGUAGUGGUGAAAUGCGUAGAUAUCGGGAGGAACACCAGUGGCGAAAGUGGCUACCUGGCCCAUUCUUGACGCUGAGGCGCGAAAGCUAGGGGAGCAAACGGG
This 253-nucleotide ribosomal RNA is filed under the name uncultured bacterium. Its description in RNAcentral is "partial 16S ribosomal RNA". It matches the Rfam family "Bacterial small subunit ribosomal RNA", at positions 524 to 776 of the family's 1533-position model. The record is from RNAcentral.